Poecilia reticulata (guppy) is the source of this 835-nucleotide long non-coding RNA. RefSeq lists it as uncharacterized. The record is from RefSeq and is a predicted model, not a curated record. Lineage: Eukaryota; Metazoa; Chordata; Actinopteri; Cyprinodontiformes; Poeciliidae.
UUAGUUACUUUCUAACUUGCUCUUGUUAAUCUACAUUAUCUCAAAUUACUAAAGUGUUGAAAGUAUUGAUCCUUGGAUCUGAAAAUAGAUUUUAAAGAAUUAAGUUCUGGUAUCGAAAGAAUCGAUAUUUCAGUAUCAAUCCGCACAUCACUAACGGCAACGUCAGAGAUCAUUUAACUGCCCUCAUUAACGGUUAAUUCAGUUGUAACAGCCUAACUAAGCUUUUAUCUACUGUACUUUUAUAAGAUUUUCUUUUGGCAAAUUUUCUAAUCUCGGUUGGACAUGGAUGAAGAUGGAGGACUUUUUUACGUGUAUAGACCCUACAGCUGCUGUACUCGGAGUAAACCAAACUGUUGCCAUGGUGAAGCCUAUGCCAGACACAUGUCAAUCACGUAUUGCACCAUCUACAAGAAACUUUGGGAAUUGCAAGUGACGGCGUCCUUCACAUUCUUGAGCAGAUGACCCAACAACUUCAAACAAGACCACUUUUCAGCUCUGUGGUGAUCAUGAAACCAACUUUCUACUGGCCAUUGGAACCAUGCCUGCCUGCCCUGAUCUUCUGAAAGGAGGACAUCAUAGCUACUACACCUUUCAGCAUCCGUGUGUGGGGCCACUCCUCUCUGUGCUGCUGACAGACGUCUUGAGAACAGCGUCUGUAACUGAGGCAAGACUUCCACAUAUAAAAGGCUAUGGCUGAUAGGAAGAAGUUCAUUGCRGAGGAAGCUCCUAUUGUUGACAUCUAAUCCCAAGAUUUUUUUUUGCUUUGGACAAUUUGGUUUGCUUGACUCUUAGUGCAUCUUAUGAGUGCGGCAGAUGUGUCAGAUCUUCAUUGUUC